This 513-nucleotide ribosomal RNA is filed under the name uncultured bacterium. RNAcentral's name for it is "partial 16S ribosomal RNA". It matches the Rfam family "Bacterial small subunit ribosomal RNA", at positions 28 to 523 of the family's 1533-position model. The record is from RNAcentral.
GACGAACGCUGGCGGCGUGCCUAACACAUGCAAGUCGAACGGAAAGUUAGCAAUAACUUUUAGUGGCGAACGGGUGAGUAACGCGUGGGCAACCUGCCCUUCAGACGGGGACAACAUUCCGAAAGGAGUGCUAAUACCGGAUACGACCUUUAGACCGCAUGGUUUAAAGAAGAAAGGUGGCCUCUAUUUAUAAGCUACCGCUGAAGGAUGGGCCUGCGUCUGAUUAGCUAGUUGGUGGGGUAAAGGCCUACCAAGGCGACGGACAGUAGCCGGUCUGAGAGGAUGAACGGCCACACUGGGACUGAGACACGGCCCAGACUCCUACGGGAGGCAGCAGUGGGGAAUCUUCCACAAUGGACGAAAGUCUGAUGGAGCAACGCCGCGUGAGUGAUGAAGGUUUUCGGAUCGUAGAACUCUGUUGUAAGGGAAGAACACGUACGAGAGGGAAUGCUCGUACCUUGACGGUACCUUACGAGAAAGCCACGGCUAACUACGUGCCAGCAGCCGCCGUAA